Molecule: RNA transcript, 2161 nt
Organism: Carassius auratus (goldfish)
Lineage: Eukaryota; Metazoa; Chordata; Actinopteri; Cypriniformes; Cyprinidae
Gene name: protein ANTAGONIST OF LIKE HETEROCHROMATIN PROTEIN 1-like
Exons: 3
Source: RefSeq, a predicted model, not a curated record
CGGCGUGACGUCACACGAGCAGAGAAGCAGCCACAGCAGAAGCGUGAGGAGGAAUGCGUCUGCAGAGCCAGGACUAAUAAUGAUGAAAUAAUCUCAUUUGUGCGGAGUAACUGAACCGAUCGCGGCUCGUCGAGGAACAGAUCGCUCUUCUGUAGCGGCUUUUGGAGCUCCGAUCCGAAAACAAAGGCGGAAACAUGGCAAACGACGAGACGCUGCGCUCGUUGAUGUUUACGCUCAGUUACGUGCUGUUGAAGCGGCGGCGUGACGUCACCAGCGCAGACGCGCAGCGCAGACGCGAGGUUCAGCGGCGCGUCGCGCACAGACAGUAUUUUCACCAGAGGCAUAAGAGGAUGAUCAUGAUGAUGAUCGCUCAGACGUCUCGUCCGGUCAGCGGUCCGCCGGCGCGCCCCACACGGGUCUGGAGCAGCAUCGAGAGCACCGAUUGGUGGGAGCGUGUGGUCAUGCGGGAGUUCCAGCCCUCUGAUUGGCUGGAGAAGUUCCGCAUGACUAAAGAGACGUUCUUCCUGCUGUGUGGGAAGCUGAAGCCGCGUCUGAGCCGUCAGGACACUCGUCUGCGUCCGGCGCUGCCGCUGGAGAAGCGUGUGGCCGUGGCUCUGUGGCGUCUGGCCUCUAACGUGGAGUACCGCACCAUCAGCGCUCUGUUCGGCGUGGGACGCUCCACCGUCUGCAAGUGUGUGAGAGACGUGUGUCACGCCAUUGUGCUGCUGCUGCGACCGCUGUACCUGCGACCCCCGAGCGAGCAGGAGCUGGAGGACGCUGCCAGACUCUUCUCCACCCGCUGGGGCUUCCCUCACUGCGUGGGAGCGGUCGGCAGCCUCCACGUGCCCAUCAUCGCACCGUCCAGCAACACCGACAACUACUGGAACAGCCGCGGCUGGCUGUCGGUGGUCACGCAGGGCGCGGUGAACGGUCUGGGGCAGUUCUGGGAUGUGUGCGCUGGGUUCCCGGGCAGCACCGAGCACUCGGCCAUCCUGCAGAACUCCACGCUGUGGGCACGCGGCUGCGACGGCUUCCUGCUGCACGAGCCACCGCUGGACUUCAUGGGCCGGCCGCUGGGCUUCCUGAUGCUGGGAGACGCCGGAUACCCGCUGAAGAGCUGGCUGCUGAAGAGCUUCCCCGAGUCCAGCGAGCUCUCCGCCGGUCAGAGGGCCUUCAACCGUAAGCUGGAGCGGGCGCGGGGCGUGGUGGACGAGGCCUUCCUGCGGCUCCGAGCGCGCUGGCAGUGUCUGCUGAAGAGGAACGACUGCCGCAUGGACGUGGUGCCCACCAUGAUCCUGGCCUGCUGCGUGCUGCACAACGUGUGCGAGGUGCACGGAGACGAGUUCAUCGAGCGCUGGGAGGAGGCCGUGAGGACCGAGGAGAGUCCACAGCCCGCAGACGAGGUGUCGCCCGCCGCAGACGACCGCGAUGGAGAGGAAGUCCGAGCUCUGUUCUGUCAGUACUUCCUGCAGCAGGAGACGCAGCAGCGGACGCUGACCUGAUGAGCGUGACUCGUGCACAAACACAGAAGCUCGUCUGUUCGCUUCACUCACUCUUAGAAACGUCUGAAUGUUAGAUGCAGAACAUCCCAGUCGUGUGUGUCGUGUUGAUGAAGUCCGUCAGUAGUGUGUCAGUCCUGGAGUCCAGUCUCUCUCUCUUUCAUCAGAGCUGAAAUGAGAGCAUCAGACAGAGAUGUGACAGAUGACGGAGUUAGUGGAGGAUGGAGCUAGCUGAUCUGUGUGAAACUGAGCAGAACUGACUUUAUUCCUGCAGUGAAAAUCAUCAGCUGAUUCAAACACAGUGAAGAGAUCCUGAAGAUCCAUGAAGACUGUGAACAGCACAUCAUUAUACAGUUUGAGCUCCAUAAACGAUGACAGAAUGAUAAUUUCUUGCUGAACAAUCUCUAACAGUGCUCCUCAUAACAUGCCAUCUGUCUCUGUGAGGUUUAGAUGAAGAAUAACUGAUGAAAUCUGGCGCAAGAUUAAGAUGAGGAUUAUUCCUCCUGUCGUCUUGAGAUAAAAUCAGGGAAUAUGGAUGUAUUAGGGUCAAGGGUCAUUCAAAGGUUUUAAAGAGACAGGACCUGUACUUUAGUGAUGGUGUGUGGCUGAAUGUGGAAACUCUGUCUGUUAGGAAGAAGGAUUAUCUGCGUCUCUGGAGAGAG